GUUUUGUGUCGCCAUUUUUUGUGUCUUGAUGUUGAACGAAAAUGAAGAGUUUAAUUGAUUUUUUUCGUUUUUUUUAUUGGAAUGUGUUUGAAGAGUUCUUGGCAGUCAGCCAUCAAAAAUCAUUUCAGGAAUAUCAUGAAAACUGAACGAGUUGCUGCUGGAAAUGGAACUGGAGUUGCAGCAGUGGUAAAACCAGAGAUAAAAAGAAAAGAAAAUGUGAGGAGAAUGAAUCCAUUGACGAAAUUAUCCAGAAGUUGUUUUUUCCACGGCUGAGGUCAGGCAACCUCAAAGAAGUCAUCCCACUCUACUUCACUGCCGAGGGGAGGAGAAUAAUAAUAAUAAUA
Molecule: long non-coding RNA, 344 nt
Organism: Anneissia japonica
Lineage: Eukaryota; Metazoa; Echinodermata; Crinoidea; Comatulida; Comatulidae
Exons: 3
Source: RefSeq, a predicted model, not a curated record